GUCACGGCAUGCUCAGUAACGGCGAGUGAAGCGGCAAAAGCUCAAAUUUUAAAGCUGGCACCUUCGGUGUCCGCGUUGUAAUUUUGUGAGGCAUCUCCGGGUAGGGCGCCGGCCUAAGUUCCUUGGAACAGGACGUCAUAGAGGGUGAGAAUCCCGUGCUUGGCUGGCUGUCCCCGUCCAUGUGAGGUGUCUUCGACGAGUCGAGUUGUUUGGGAAUGCAGCUCAAAAUGGGUGGUAAAUUUCAUCUAAAGCUAAAUAUUGGUGGGAGACCGAUAGCGCACAAGUAGAGUGAUCGAAAGAUGAAAAGCACUUUGAAAAUAGAGUUAAAAAGUACGUGAAAUUGUUGAAAGGGAAGCGCUUGAGACCAGACUUCGGUGGGGGGUGAUCAGCUGUCCUUCUGGGCGGUGCACUUGCUCCCCUCCGGGCCAGCAUCGGUUGGGGCGGCGGGAUAAAGAUCCCGGGAAUGUGGCUCCUUUCGGGGAGUGUUAUAGCCCGGGUGAAUGCCGCCAGUUCCGACCGAGGACCGCGCCUUCGGGCUAGGAUGCUUGGCAUAAUGGUCUUCAGCGACCCGUCUUGAACCCCCGGAACCA
RNAcentral lists this ribosomal RNA (590 nucleotides) under Morchella sp. RNAcentral's name for it is "partial large subunit ribosomal RNA". It matches the Rfam family "Eukaryotic large subunit ribosomal RNA", at positions 67 to 669 of the family's 3401-position model. Lineage: Eukaryota; Fungi; Ascomycota; Pezizomycetes; Pezizales; Morchellaceae. The record is from RNAcentral.